UUAUUGAAUUGAAUCAUCUCUUCUCUCCCUCUUACUUCCCUCAGUGGGUGUCAGCUGCGUUCUGGCAUGAGUGAGGCUAAAUGGGGAUGCUCAGUUUGUCUUUCCCCUCCGGCUGGAAUAACACCUUGCCUCAUUCCCUCAUAGCUCUUCAGAUUAGCGUAGAUUAAAUGGGAGGAGAGGACUCAUGCCCUAGGCUGAGGCCAACACGGAUGCCAAGACCAGGUUCUGCUCAUUGGCUGGAGGCCCCCCUCACAUCAUGUCACUUGUGGUGGCAUCUGUCAGGUGAGUUUCCGUAAACAGGCAGGUGGCCGGAGAAGGACAAGCCUGGGCUUGCCUCUCACACAUGCAGGUUCUGUUUUUCCUUUCCCCUUUGGUCUUUGUAUGUUUGGUUGGUUGACCUCAGCUGUAAUUCUGAGAAACCCAAGGAUGGAAAAAAAAAAGAAAGAACAAGCCUCAUUCUGAAGCAUUUGCAUUUCCUGAAGUCAAAUGGCAAGGUGUAUUUUAAUUCUUCUUUAAGAAUCUUUUUAAGCAAAAAGUGGUUUCAAGCAACAGGAAAAAAACAGGAAUGUCAGCCUCAAAACAAAAUCCAUGCCAGGCUCAGGUCAUCUGGCUGGUUCUCCUCACUCUUGACAUUUUAG
This 638-nucleotide long non-coding RNA is filed under the name Mustela putorius furo (domestic ferret). RNAcentral's name for it is "lncRNA (ENSMPUG00000031454.1)". The record is from RNAcentral. Lineage: Eukaryota; Metazoa; Chordata; Mammalia; Carnivora; Mustelidae.